UUCAGAGGAACCUGUUCUAUAAUUGAUGAUCCACGAAUUAAAUUACUUAUUUUAUUAGUUUACAUAUCGUCGUAGGUUGAAUAUUUUAUAAGAAGAUUAAUAUUCAAGAUUUUUAAAUAAAAAAUAAAUCAGAUCAAGGUGUAGUUUAUAAAUAAGAAGAAAUGGGUUACAAUUAAAAUAUUAUAAUUUGGAUAAUUAAUUGAAAAUUAAUUUAAAAUUGGAUUUGACAGUAAUUUUAAUAAAUUAUUAAGAUGAUUUUAGCUCUAAAAUAUGUACAUAUCGCCCGUCAUUUUCACUAUAAAGUGAAACAAGUCGUAACAUAGUAGGUGUACUGGAAAGUGUGCCUAGAAAGUCAAAUUAGAGCUUGUUAAAAAGCAUUUUAUUUACAUUAAAAAGUUUAUUGUGAGAAUCAAUAUAAUUUGAGAAAUUAAUAUUAUUAAUUUUAUAAAAUUUUUAAAAAAUUAGGAAAAAUAAUUUUUAGUUUUAUUAAAAUAAUGAAAUAAUUUUGUUUAUUAUAGAUUAUUAGUAUUGUGAAAGAAUUAUUAUAUUUAGUUAAUAGAAUAAUUUAUUUUUAGUACCUUGUGCAUCAGGGUUUAUUAAAUAAUAAUUUAAUAUUAAAUUUUCUCGAAUUUAAAAGAGCUAUAUAAUUAUAUUUUUUAAUGUAUUAUAAUUAUUAAGAAUAUUUAUAUAGUAAUGAGAUGUUAUUCGUUUUUAGAUUUAUCUAGUUUUUAAAGAAAUAAAUUUAAUUUAUUUAGUAUUAAUAUUGAUUUAAAUUUUUAAUUAUAUAUUAGUAUUAAAAAAUAUUUUAAGGGUUGAGCUUUAAAAUAGAAUUUUAAAAAUAAAAUAAAUGAUUUAAAUUUGUAGGAUUAAUAAUUUUCAUUUUUUAGUAUGUUAUAAUUAAUUUAGAAGUUAUUAAAAUUUAUAUUUUAUUUUAAUUUUUUUUAUUUAAAUAUUAAUAAAAAUUUUUAUUAUUAAAUAAUAAUGAUAAAAUUAGUAUAUAUUUAUUUAUUUUAAAUUAUUUUAAAAACAUGGCCUAAUGAUUAUAAUGUUAGGUCUAGCCUGCCCAAUGAAUAUUUAAAUGGCCGCGGUAUUUUGACCGUGCAAAGGUAGCAUAAUCAUUUGUUUUUUAAUUGAAAGCUGGAAUGAAAGGUUGAAUGAGGAAAUAACUGUCUCUAUUUAAUUAUUAGAAUUUUAUUUUUAAGUUAAAAAGCUUAAAUUUAAUUUGAAGACGAGAAGACCCUAUAGAGUUUAAUAAUUAUAUUAUUUAGUAAUUUUUGUAUUUUAUAAUAUUAAGUAUUUUAAUUAUUUAAUUGGGGUGAUUGAAAAAUUUAAUUAACUUUUUUUAUAUAUUUCCAUUAAUUAGUGAAAAAUUGAUCCUAUAAUUAGAUUAAAAGAUUAAAUUACCUUAGGGAUAACAGCGUAAUUUUUUUUUAGAGUUCAAAUCGAAAAAAUAGAUUGCGACCUCGAUGUUGGAUUAAAAUAAAAAUUUGGUGUAGAAGCUAAAUUAUUUGGUCUGUUCGACCAUUUAAAUUUUACUUGAUCUGAGUUCAAACCGGUGUAAGCCAGGUUGGUUUCUAUCUCUAAUUAGUUAAAAUAUUUUAGUACGAAAGGACCAAAUAUUUAAUUAAAAAUUUCUAUUUUGAAUUAUAUUGUUAUUUUGGCAGAUUAGUGCAAUAGAUUUAGAAUCUUUAUAUGUAAAUUUUACAAAUAACACUUGUUAUUAAAAGAUUUUACUUUAAUAAUAAUUUCUAGAUUAAUUUUGAUAUUAUGUGUUAUAAUUGGGGUUGCUUUUUUGACUUUAUUGGAGCGUAAAGUUUUAGGAUAUAUUCAAAUUC
RNAcentral lists this ribosomal RNA (1835 nucleotides) under Catapion meieri. Its description in RNAcentral is "partial 16S ribosomal RNA". The record is from RNAcentral. Lineage: Eukaryota; Metazoa; Arthropoda; Insecta; Coleoptera; Brentidae.